UCUUUUCUAUUUUUUUUAAGUAGGAUACAAAAUAUAAUACUAAGUGAUAUAGUGCAUAUGGUUUCUCAUGUAAUUUUCCCAACAACCGUUUGAGAGUUCAGUAAACCUCUCACACCUUGAUUUCCUCCUGUAUAAAACACAAAAUAAUAGUACCUACAUCACUGGGCUUCUGAGGGUGAAAUGAAAUAUCCCUGCAAAGCUCUGAGCACAGUGCCAGGCACAAAGUGUUUUGAUAAGAUUCUUUAUUAAGGACCUUACUUCUCUCUAGCUGGCUUAUUCAUUCCUCGAGGACAACGUCCUAUCUUCCCUUUCUCCUACAUCUUCCACAGUGCUCAGAACAAUUCGGGGCCCACGCAGUGGCCUUUCAGUACUUAACUGUCAAGAAAACUUUGUGGCUGAACACAAACAUGCAAAUAAAAUGACACGCAUUUUCAAAUUGUUUCAAUGCAGAUAAUUGAUGAUGUAGCUUAAGCAAUGAUCCCUUUCUAUGUGGCUACUCAUUUAACAUAAGGACAGGAUUCCUGACUUCUUUUUUUAUUGGCUUCAAAGGUGUUGGACAUUUUUCUUGAAAGGUCAGUUCUGCCUAUCAGGGUAACAUAAGUUCUGAGCUAUGUUCAGAGGGCUACUCCUCUCAGAAGCUGUCUGAUUUCCCAUUUUCCUCUCUAGGUAAGAAUUUCACUGCUCUUGUUGGCUAAAGGAGCAUCGUGUGGGCAUGCGAUUUAUAACGGAGAGCGUUGCAGAGUUGCUUGGAAUAUGUUUAAUGCCAGGGCACAUCGCAGCCUACUUUGAUGCAGGAGAAGGGGAGAUGAAGAAGAGGAUGUGAGCGCCAGCGAGAUGAGAGGAAGCAGGGGUGACUGCAGUGAAUGGGGAGGCUGCAAUGCUGAAACAGGCUCUGUUUACUGCACAAUACCCCCACGGAAACAGCCCUACAUAUUAAUGGGGCCGGCCGAGUGGCACGUUGGUUAAGAGCUGCCUUGGGAC
Molecule: long non-coding RNA, 981 nt
Organism: Hipposideros armiger (great roundleaf bat)
Lineage: Eukaryota; Metazoa; Chordata; Mammalia; Chiroptera; Hipposideridae
Exons: 3
Source: RefSeq, a predicted model, not a curated record